RNAcentral lists this ribosomal RNA (492 nucleotides) under uncultured bacterium. Its description in RNAcentral is "partial 16S ribosomal RNA". It matches the Rfam family "Bacterial small subunit ribosomal RNA", at positions 29 to 507 of the family's 1533-position model. The record is from RNAcentral.
AGUGAACGCUGGCGGUAGGCCUAACACAUGCCAGUCGAACGGCAGCACAUUAAGCGCUUGCUCUUACGGUUGGCGACUGGCGAACGGGUGAGGAAUACAGCGGAAUCUACUUUUUCGUGGGGGAUAAAGUAGGGGAACUUACGCUAAUACCGCAUAUGACCUGCGGGUGAAAGCAGUGGAUUUUCGGACCUUGCUCGAUGAAGUGAGACGUUACCGGAUUAGUGAGCUGGCGGGGUAAAGGCCCGCCAAGGCGACGAUCCGUAGCUGGUCUGAGAGGAUGAUCAGCGACACUGGGACUGAGACACGGUCCAGACUCCUACGGGAGGCAGCAGUGGGGAAUAUUGGGCAAUGGGCGCAAGCCUGAUCCAGCCAUACCGCGUGGGUGAAGAAGGCCUUCGCGUGGUAAAGCACUUUUGUUGGGAAAGAAAAGCAGCAGGUUAAUACCCCGAUGUUCUGACGGUACCCAAAGAAUAAGCACCGGCUAACUUCGUG